This 301-nucleotide ribosomal RNA is filed under the name uncultured bacterium. Its description in RNAcentral is "partial 16S ribosomal RNA". It matches the Rfam family "Bacterial small subunit ribosomal RNA", at positions 509 to 808 of the family's 1533-position model. The record is from RNAcentral.
CAGUAGCCGCGGUAAUACGUAGGGGGCUAGCGUUAUCCGGAUUUACUGGGCGUAAAGGGUGCGUAGGUGGUCCUUCAAGUCGGUGGUUAAAGGCUACGGCUCAACCGUAGUAAGCCGCCGAAACUGGAGGACUUGAGUGCAGGAGAGGAAAGUGGAAUUCCCAGUGUAGCGGUGAAAUGCGUAGAUAUUGGGAGGAACACCAGUAGCGAAGGCGGCUUUCUGGACUGCAACUGACACUGAGGCACGAAAGCGUGGGUAGCAAACAGGAUUAGAUACCCCAGUAGUCCCUGUCUCUUAUACA